UUUCGCAAUGCCCGAAAGGGUGACGAAGCGACGCCGCGUGAGUGAGGAAGGCCUUCGGGUUGUAAAGCUCUGUCAGGAGUUAAGAAAUAUAAGUGUGUUAAUACCACAUUUAUUUGACGAAGGCUCCAAAGGAAGCCACGGCUAACUCUGUGCCAGCAGCCGCGGUAAUACAGAGGUGGCAAGCGUUGUUCGGAAUUAUUGGGCGUAAAGAGCACGUAGGUGGGUUUGUAAGUCAGAUGUGAAAGCCUUCUGUUCAACGGAAGAAUUGCAUCUGAAACUGCGAGUCUUGAGUGUAGGAGGGGAGAAUGGAACUUCUGGUGGAGCGGUGAAAUGCGUAGGUAUCUGAAGGAACGCCGGCGGCGAAAGCGAUUCUCUGGCCUAUUACUGACACUCAGUGUGCGAAAGCUAGGGGAGCAAACGGGAUUAGAUACCCCGGUAGUCCUAGCUGUAAACGAUGGGCACUAAGUAGAGGGGUUUUA
This 479-nucleotide ribosomal RNA is filed under the name uncultured anaerobic ammonium-oxidizing bacterium. Its description in RNAcentral is "bacterial SSU rRNA". It matches the Rfam family "Bacterial small subunit ribosomal RNA", at positions 364 to 833 of the family's 1533-position model. The record is from RNAcentral.